RNAcentral lists this transfer RNA (93 nucleotides) under Nevskia sp. Its description in RNAcentral is "tRNA-Ser". It matches the Rfam family "tRNA". From Rfam's summary of the family: Transfer RNA (tRNA) molecules are approximately 80 nucleotides in length. Their secondary structure includes four short double-helical elements and three loops (D, anti-codon, and T loops). Further hydrogen bonds mediate the characteristic L-shaped molecular structure. tRNAs have two regions of fundamental functional importance: the anti-codon, which is responsible for specific mRNA codon recognition, and the 3' end, to which the tRNAs corresponding amino acid is attached (by aminoacyl-tRNA synthetases). tRNAs cope with the degeneracy of the genetic code in two manners: having more than one tRNA (with a specific anti-codon) for a particular amino acid; and 'wobble' base-pairing, i.e. permitting non-standard base-pairing at the 3rd anti-codon position. The record is from RNAcentral. Lineage: Bacteria; Pseudomonadati; Pseudomonadota; Gammaproteobacteria; Nevskiales; Nevskiaceae.
GGAGAGGUACCGAAGCGGUCAUAACGGCGCCGACUCGAAAUCGGAUGGGGGAUGAAAGUCCCCACAGGAGUUCGAAUCUCCUCCUCUCCGCCA